Long non-coding RNA from Daphnia carinata, 1164 nucleotides. RefSeq lists it as uncharacterized. The transcript has 6 exons. Lineage: Eukaryota; Metazoa; Arthropoda; Branchiopoda; Diplostraca; Daphniidae. The record is from RefSeq and is a predicted model, not a curated record.
CUGGUGCUGAACUCUGCCCGUUGGCGUCACAUGCUUCGCAUAUUAGCAUGGUUCUUAUUCUAGAAAUUUAUGGCCAUCUUGAAAAUCACCGUGGUUUUCCCAGUGUCUGUCAAAGCAAUUCAUGUCGUUUAAGUUAUUCCAGAGCCUGUACGUGGAGAUUUUGAGGAAGCUGCACAUGAAUAUAACACCAAAUUGGAUAUAUGUGCUGGUUUCACAAAAAAUGAAUUUGGCUGGUCGGUGGCCGCAACGAAAGCGUAAUGCUUUCUACAAGUGACAAUUUCAAAAACUUCCAUGUUGAUUGCAAGUGUUUUAGCGUUGGUGCAUUAUUCUGCUAGUAUAAAAAGCAGCAUAACCACCAAUGGGCUAACCAAAAUGUAAAAUCUAACGGCUCAUGAAUCAGUGUGACAGGAUUUUUCGUUAUCGAAGGUGCCAUAAAAGUUAUUUGUUUUGGAUAUGUGGUUGUUACGCGAUCAUAGGCGUCUCUGUGAAGAAACUGGAACAAAAGUUUUUGGUACAAGAUCGUCAUCCAUGGCUAAGAUUGGUGUGUAAGUUUAGUUCGUAAAGUUGAGGAAAAACUGCAAAGAUUAUCCAUAAUCCAACGUGGAUAUAUAAGUUUCUAAUUGGAAAAUAUAUGCCGUCAAGUUAUUUUGGAAGAACGUAGAGGGAGUUAGCAAAUUUUUUCUUUUCUUAUGUAAGAUGAGCCAUAGAACCCAGGGUUGGGGUUCUAUGACUGCGGUAACGCCAAUUCUUUUUGGGGGGCUCGUCGGAUAUUUUCAAUUUACAUGUGCCUGUUUUUAAUACUAAGCACCAUUUCGAUCCAUUUCCUUACAAAAAAAAUUCUAUCAAUACGGACAUUUUCGUGAGAGAACACAGUUCGGCAACCUACAAAAAAAACGGGCGCUUCUUGGUUCAAACUGUCGUGGCGUAAGUUACAUUAAGUCUUUCUGAUUGUUGUUUUAAACGGUUUCACAAACUGCCUUGUCACUUUAUCACUGAGUGUAUCACCUUAUCAAAGUCAGUAAGCAGUACUAACAUUUUGGUCCUCAUUAAUCUGAAGCUGGUUAAUGAAGUUGGAGUAGCGGAGCAACCUAACGUCUUUUGGAAUGCCGAUGAACUAGGUUUGGCACAUUGGUUUAAAUGGUUUUCGUCCUGUUUGUAAUUGGG